AUUGAACGCUGGCGGCAGGCCUAACACAUGCAAGUCGAGCGCGCGGCGGACGGGUGAGUAAUGUAUGGGGCUCUGCCCGAUAGAGGGGGAUAACUACUCGAAAGAGUGGCUAAUACCGCAUACUCUUGGAGCGGCCGAUAUAGGAUUAGCUCGUUGGUGGGGUAAAGGCUCACCAAGGCAGCGAUCCGUAGCUGGUCUGGGAGGACGACCAGCCACACGGGGACUGACACACGGCCCAGACUCCUACGGGAGGCAGCAGUGGGGAAUUUUGGACAAGGGGGGCAACCCUGAUGCAGCCAUCACGCGUUGAUGAUGAAGGCCUGCGGGUUGUAAAGUACUUUUGGCAGAGAAGCGGGAUCUGCAGAAUAAGCACCGGCUAACUACGUGCCAGCAGCCGCGGUAAUAC
This 406-nucleotide ribosomal RNA is filed under the name uncultured bacterium. RNAcentral describes it as "partial 16S ribosomal RNA". It matches the Rfam family "Bacterial small subunit ribosomal RNA", at positions 30 to 526 of the family's 1533-position model. The record is from RNAcentral.